RNAcentral lists this ribosomal RNA (429 nucleotides) under Gemmatimonadota bacterium. RNAcentral's name for it is "Gemmatimonadetes bacterium partial 16S ribosomal RNA". It matches the Rfam family "Bacterial small subunit ribosomal RNA", at positions 355 to 776 of the family's 1533-position model. Lineage: Bacteria; Pseudomonadati; Gemmatimonadota. The record is from RNAcentral.
UAGGGAAUCUUCGGCAAUGGACGAAAGUCUGACCGAGCAACGCCGCGUGAGUGAAGAAGGUUUUCGGAUCGUAAAACUCUGUUGUUAGAGAAGAACAAGGACGUUAGUAACUGAACGUCCCCUGACGGUAUCUAACCAGAAAGCCACGGCUAACUACGUGCCAGCAGCCGCGGUAAUACGUAGGUGGCAAGCGUUGUCCGGAUUUAUUGGGCGUAAAGCGAGCGCAGGCGGUUUCUUAAGUCUGAUGUGAAAGCCCCCGGCUCAACCGGGGAGGGUCAUUGGAAACUGGGAGACUUGAGUGCAGAAGAGGAGAGUGGAAUUCCAUAUGUAGCGGUGAAAUGCGUAGAUAUAUGGAGGAACACCAGUGGCGAAGGCGGCUCUCUGGGCUGUAACUGACGCUGAGGCUCGAAAGCGUGGGGAGCAAACAGG